UACGAAGGGUGCAAGCGUUACUCGGAACUACUGGGCGUAAAGCGUGCGUAGGGGGUUUGUUAAGUCUGUUGUGAAAGCCCCGGGCUCAACCUGGGAAUGGCAAUGGAUACUGGCAAGCUAGAGUGCGGUAGAGGGUAGUGGAAUUCCCGGUGUAGCGGUGAAAUGCGUAGAUAUCUGGAGGAACACCGGUGGCGAAGGCGGCAUCCUGGACCGACACUGACACUGAGGAGCGAAAGCCAGGGGAGCAAACGGG
This 253-nucleotide ribosomal RNA is filed under the name uncultured bacterium. Its description in RNAcentral is "partial 16S ribosomal RNA". It matches the Rfam family "Bacterial small subunit ribosomal RNA", at positions 524 to 776 of the family's 1533-position model. The record is from RNAcentral.